This is a long non-coding RNA of Pezoporus occidentalis (night parrot), 328 nucleotides long. RefSeq lists it as uncharacterized. The transcript is spliced from 3 exons. The record is from RefSeq and is a predicted model, not a curated record. Lineage: Eukaryota; Metazoa; Chordata; Aves; Psittaciformes; Psittacidae.
CGUCCGGGUGUCGCGGAAAGCUCUGAUUGGAUAGCACCGGACGCGGAGGCGAGAUUGCGCGACAAGCCGCCCCGCCCCUAGCGCCGCUUGCGUUCCAUGCUGUUGUAAGGCCUGCUGCUUGUAGUGGAGAAGAUUUUGAUAAUUUUUGUGGUUAUUUAAAGGUUGUUUCCACCCUCUCUCAGUCACAAGCUGACUGGAACCUGCUUUAACUGAAGGGCAGAGAACCUCUAGGUAGGUUGGAUCCCCAGCUUUCAGCAUCUGUGCCAGUGCCCCUCCCAUGAUCUGGGGCACAUCUGGCUUCAUGACCACAGCCACGGGGUGGGAUGUG